GCCUGGCUGGCUCAGUCGGUAGGGCAUGCGACUCUUGAUCUCAGGGGCAUGUGAGUUCAAGCCCCAUGUUGGGUG
Molecule: transfer RNA, 75 nt
Filed under: Felis catus (domestic cat)
Lineage: Eukaryota; Metazoa; Chordata; Mammalia; Carnivora; Felidae
Also listed under: 3 other names
Rfam family: tRNA
About the family: Transfer RNA (tRNA) molecules are approximately 80 nucleotides in length.
Source: Rfam by way of RNAcentral